Molecule: ribosomal RNA, 253 nt
Filed under: uncultured bacterium
Lineage: Bacteria
Description: partial 16S ribosomal RNA
Rfam family: Bacterial small subunit ribosomal RNA
Source: RNAcentral
UACGUAGGGUGCGAGCGUUGUCCGGAAUUAUUGGGCGUAAAGGGCUCGUAGGCGGUCUGUUGCGUCAGGAGUGAAAACUCGGGGCUUAACCCCGAGCCUGCUUCUGAUACGGGCAGACUAGAGGUAUGCAGGGGAGAACGGAAUUCCUGGUGUAGCGGUGAAAUGCGCAGAUAUCAGGAGGAACACCGGUGGCGAAGGCGGUUCUCUGGGCAUUACCUGACGCUGAGGAGUGAAAGUGUGGGGAGCGAACAGG